UACGUAGGGUCCGAGCGUUAAUCGGAAUUACUGGGCGUAAAGCGUGCGCAGGCGGUUCGCAAAGACAGGUGUGAAAGCCCCGGGCUCAACCUGGGAAUGGCAAUGGAUACUGGCAAGCUAGAGUGCGGUAGAGGGUAGUGGAAUUCCCGGUGUAGCGGUGAAAUGCGUAGAGAUCGGGAGGAACACCAGUGGCGAAGGCGGCUACCUGGACCAGCACUGACACUGAGGCACGAAAGCGUGGGAGCAAACAGG
Molecule: ribosomal RNA, 252 nt
Filed under: uncultured bacterium
Lineage: Bacteria
Description: partial 16S ribosomal RNA
Rfam family: Bacterial small subunit ribosomal RNA
Source: RNAcentral